AGAGUUUGAUCAUGGCUCAGAAUGAACGCUGGCGGCGCGCCUAACACAUGCAAGUCGAACGAGAAAUCUCGAGCUUGCUCGAGAGAGUAAAGUAGCGCACGGGUGAGUAACGCGUGGGUAACCUGCCCUUAAGUCUGGGAUAAUCCACCGAAAGGUGGCCUAAUACCGGAUACUGUCCCGAGAACCACGGUUCUCGGGAUGAAAGCUGACCUCCUCAUGAAAGUUGGCGCUUGAGGAGGGGCUCGCGUGCCAUUAGCUUGUUGGUAGGGUAAUGGCCUACCAAGGCUACGAUGGUUAGCUGGCCUGAGGAGACAACCAGCCACACUGGAACUGAAACACGGUCCAGACUCCUACGGGAGGCAGCAGUGGGGAAUCUUGCGCAAUGGGGGAAACCCUGACGCAGCGACGCCGCGUGAGUGAAGAAGGCUUUCGAGUCGUAAAGCUCUGUCAAGUGGGAAUAAAGUCCCGUGGUGAAUAGUCGCGGGAUCUGAAGGUACCACUGGAGGAAGCACCGGCUAACUCCGUGCCAGCAGCCGCGGUAAUACGGAGGGUGCAAGCGUUAUUCGGAUUUAUUGGGCGUAAAGAGCGUGUAGGCGGUCGGGUUAGUCAGAUGUGAAAGCCUUCUGCUCAACAGAAGAAGUACGUCUGAAACUGCCCAACUUGAGUACGAGAGAGGAAAGUGGAAUUCCCAGUGUAGAGGUGAAAUUCGUAGAUAUUGGGAGGAACACCUGUGGCGAAGGCGACUUUCUGGAUCGAUACUGACGCUGAGACGCGAAAGCGUGGGGAGCAAACAGGAUUAGGUACCCUGGUAGUCCACGCCGUAAACGAUGGGAACUAGGUGUAGCGGGUAUUGAUCCCUGCUGUGCCGAAGCUAACGCAUUAAGUUCCCCGCCUGGGGAGUACGGUCGCAAGGCUAAAACUCAAAUGAAUUGACGG
This 936-nucleotide ribosomal RNA is filed under the name uncultured bacterium. RNAcentral describes it as "bacterial SSU rRNA". It matches the Rfam family "Bacterial small subunit ribosomal RNA", at positions 8 to 916 of the family's 1533-position model. The record is from RNAcentral.